CGUCCUUGGAUUUUUUUUUUUUAAUGAAAUUUUUAGAGGAAGAUAUCUGUUAGUUUGGGACGGGCGGCGGGGCCUCUGUGUCGCCUCUCUGCCUCCGCGAUCGCAGCAACCUUCGCGCCUCUAUCGCCGGCGGCGGCGGACCAGUUCUUCUUACAGGCCCCAAACGAUGGAUGGCAACAGGACUUCUUCUCAUCGGCUUGCGGUUGGUGAUAUUGGUGAUGCAUUGCAGCUGAAGG
This is a long non-coding RNA of Elaeis guineensis (African oil palm), 236 nucleotides long. RefSeq lists it as uncharacterized. The record is from RefSeq and is a predicted model, not a curated record. Lineage: Eukaryota; Viridiplantae; Streptophyta; Magnoliopsida; Arecales; Arecaceae.